RNAcentral lists this ribosomal RNA (460 nucleotides) under uncultured bacterium. RNAcentral describes it as "partial 16S ribosomal RNA". It matches the Rfam family "Bacterial small subunit ribosomal RNA", at positions 338 to 795 of the family's 1533-position model. The record is from RNAcentral.
CCUACGGGGGGCAGCAGUGAGGAAUAUUGGUCAGUGGACGAGAGUCUGAACCAGCCAAGUAGCGUGAAGGAUGACUGCCCUAUGGGUUGUAAACUUCUUUUAUAUGGGAAUAAAACGUUCCACGUGUGGGAUUUUGUAUGUACCAUAUGAAUAAGGAUCGGCUAACUCCGUGCCAGCAGCCGCGGUAAUACGGAGGAUCCGAGCGUGAUCCGGAUUUAUUGGGUUUAAAGGGAGCGUAGGUGGAUUGUUAAGUCAGUUGUGAAAGUUUGCGGCGCAACCGUAACAUUGCAGUUGAAACUGGCAGUCUUGAGUACAGUAGAGGUGGGCGGAAUUCGUGGUGUAGCGGUGAAAUGCGUAGAUAUCACGAAGAACUCCGAUUGCGAAGGCAGUUCACUGGACUGCAACUGACACUGAGGCUCGAAAGUGUGGGUAUCAAACAGGAUUAGAUACCCCAGUAGUC